AAUUCUCAACUUCAAUGACUUUAUUGUUUAUUGAAGCUUGGACUUUGGAGGUUUUUGCAGGCAGUUAAUGUCAGCUCCUCUUAAAUGCAUUAGCGGAACUAUAAAAAGGACCAGCUCUGGUUUGAUAAUGAAUAUCUAUGCCGUUGCUGUGACCAUUAUAAUGUUCAGCUUUCUAAUUGUCUUAGGACUGUCUCUUUAUGAGGCAAUACAAAUUUUAA
RNAcentral lists this unclassified non-coding RNA (218 nucleotides) under uncultured Clavariaceae. Its description in RNAcentral is "sequence contains ITS2". Lineage: Eukaryota; Fungi; Basidiomycota; Agaricomycetes; Agaricales; Clavariaceae. The record is from RNAcentral.